UACGUAGGGUGCAAGCGUUGUCCGGAAUUAUUGGGCGUAAAGAGCUCGUAGGCGGUUUGUCGCGUCUGCUGUGAAAACUCGGGGCUUAACCCCGGGCCUGCAGUGGGUACGGGCAGACUAGCGUGCGGUAGGGGAGACUGGAAUUCCUGGUGUAGCGGUGAAAUGCGCAGAUAUCAGGAGGAACACCGGUGGCGAAGGCGGGUCUCUGGGCCGUAACUGACGCUGAGGAGCGAAAGCGUGGGGAGCGAACAGG
RNAcentral lists this ribosomal RNA (253 nucleotides) under uncultured bacterium. RNAcentral describes it as "partial 16S ribosomal RNA". It matches the Rfam family "Bacterial small subunit ribosomal RNA", at positions 524 to 776 of the family's 1533-position model. The record is from RNAcentral.